This 497-nucleotide ribosomal RNA is filed under the name uncultured bacterium. RNAcentral's name for it is "partial 16S ribosomal RNA". It matches the Rfam family "Bacterial small subunit ribosomal RNA", at positions 28 to 507 of the family's 1533-position model. The record is from RNAcentral.
GAUGAACGCUGGCGGCGUGCCUAAUACAUGCAAGUCGAGCGAACAGACGAGGAGCUUGCUCCUUCGACGUUAGCGGCGGACGGGUGAGUAACACGUAGGUAACCUACCUAUAAGACUGGGAUAACUUCGGGAAACCGGAGCUAAUACCGGAUAAUAUUUCGAACCGCAUGGUUCGAUAGUGAAAGAUGGCUUUGCUAUCACUUAUAGAUGGACCUGCGCCGUAUUAGCUAGUUGGUAAGGUAACGGCUUACCAAGGCAACGAUACGUAGCCGACCUGAGAGGGUGAGCGGCCACACUGGAACUGAGACACGGUCCAGACUCCUACGGAAGGCAGCAGUAGGGAAUCUUCCGCAAUGGGCGAAAGCCUGACGGAGCAACGCCGCGUGAGUGAUGAAGGUCUUCGGAUCGUAAAACUCUGUUAUUAGGGAAGAACAAACGUGUAAGUAACUGUGCACGUCUUGACGGUACCUAAUCAGAAAGCCACGGCUAACUACGUG